Molecule: ribosomal RNA, 252 nt
Filed under: uncultured bacterium
Lineage: Bacteria
Description: partial 16S ribosomal RNA
Rfam family: Bacterial small subunit ribosomal RNA
Source: RNAcentral
UACGAAGGGGCUAGCGUUGCUCGGAAUCACUGGGCGUAAAGGGUGCGUAGGCGGGUCUUUAAGUCAGGGGUGAAAUCCUGGAGCUCAACUCCAGAACUGCCUUUGAUACUGAGGAUCUUGAGUUCGGGAGAGGUGAGUGGAACUGCGAGUGUAGAGGUGAAAUUCGUAGAUAUUCGCAAGAACACCAGUGGCGAAGGCGGCUCACUGGCCCGAUACUGACGCUGAGGCACGAAAACGUGGGGAGCAAACAGG